CCCAUAAGACACACUUAGGUUUUAGAGGAGGAAAACAGGAAAAAAUUUUUGAAGCAAAAAAUGUGGUUAAAUAUUUAAUAACAUAAGUAACAUAAUAUUUCACGAAUGUAAAUGUAAACAAAACUCAACAGCGGCAUUAACAACCAUUACUCCCCACAAAUUGUGGGGGGUGUGUCUUAUAGUCUGAAAAUAUGGUACUUUUAAUGUAAAAGGAAAAACUCA
Phyllostomus discolor (pale spear-nosed bat) is the source of this 222-nucleotide long non-coding RNA. RefSeq lists it as uncharacterized. The transcript has 3 exons. Lineage: Eukaryota; Metazoa; Chordata; Mammalia; Chiroptera; Phyllostomidae. The record is from RefSeq and is a predicted model, not a curated record.